Molecule: unclassified non-coding RNA, 1349 nt
Filed under: Portunus trituberculatus (swimming crab)
Lineage: Eukaryota; Metazoa; Arthropoda; Malacostraca; Decapoda; Portunidae
Description: uncharacterized LOC123518032, transcript variant X2
Source: RNAcentral
GUAGAAAAAGAACCAAAGCAGAAAUAUCACUAUUUGUUUGAUAUGGGUGGCCUAAAAUAUGCUGUGACUGAAAACAGUGUUAAUAUAGCUCAUUUUUCAAUGAUACACUAAACAUGGGCCUUGAAAUGUAUGUCAUACCUUCUCCAUAAUCCUGUUGGAUGCUUCCAUGCCACACUUUGUCACAGCAGGCCGCGGGGUCGUCUACUCCCGGAUCGCGCAAUGCGCAUGCGCAGAAGACGCAUCUAAACACUGUCACAGCCACACUAUAUCACAGGACACCGGGAAUGGAGGCGAGCGCGCGGGACGGUUUCUUGGGGACAGUGCCGUGGUCUUCCCCGGCCUGGAAGUUUGCGGGAGACUAACCAGUAACCACUCGCCGGGCCAUGGCACGCUUGGGCCUGCAGGUGUUAACAAGCUCUCGACUUCGCCACACUUAUUUUUGACGGCUCUUGCAGAGUAAAGGGAUGAGGUGAACAAGUUGAAAAGGGACAGACUGCCGCCUGCCCCCACGCCGAUGAGGGUGAAUGAGGGAGCAUGCACUUCUCAAGGUCGAGAUUGGAAAGACAGCGCCUAGCGUCCAUGAUGAGGAGGAAAGAGGUGGCUACUGGCUUUAGUGUGUUGUGUGUUGUCUGAAAUUAUCUGAUGAACAUGCCCGAUGAUUCAGCACCGUUGCGAUCACAGGAAUAGGACGGAUGACGACAAGGCGACGCUGGAAACACGUUGUGCAUCGUGAAAGCACGAGGCCGAACGUGAGCCCUGGGGGGAAGAGGAAUGCAUGGUGAGUGUUAAUAUCAUUUUAGUAUUUCGUAAAGCGUGUGGGAACUAAAGGUGACAUGUCAUUUUCGCUUUUACUUCUCAGUCACUGUGAUAUUUCUUUUCUUUUCUAAUAAACAAGAGUAUAUGUUUCAGUAAGGCAGAAAUUAAGGGCCAGUUUUAUAAUGGUUUCAUGUUGGUAAUAUCUGCAGGGUUUAUGGGCGAUGAUUUUCAGGCCCACAAACCAAUAAUAUUUCACAGCUGUCUUUGUACGUAAACCAGAAAUCUGAAUCCAAUGCAAGACAGGUAAGGAGGAGAGCUUCCUUACCGCAGCUUAGUAGUGAUAGUUUUUCAAGUACGUAUACAUUAAGUUUGUAGUAUCCCUGACACACUGAAUAUUGACCUAUUUCAUACCAUAUUCUCUUCUGUGAUGUUGCAUCACCAUGAACUAAACCAAUCAAUCAGUCUAUCUAUCUCUCUAUCUCCCUUUCUUUCCUUUAUUUUUUCUCCCAAAAGAUGUUACUUAUCGAGCUACUUGUUCCUUCAGUCUUCCUCUUCCCCCUCCAGUCUUAUAUCAUCUGAGAAAGAGUACGUAA